GACUUGACAUGUCAGGGAUCCCGGCAGAGAUGUCGGCUCGUCAGGCUUCGGCCUGGCGUCCUGUCACAGGUGCUGCAUGGCUGUCGUCAGCUCGUGUCGUGAGAUGUUGGGUUAAGUCCCGCAACGAGCGCAACCCUUGCCCCUAGUUGCCAUCAGGUAAAGCUGGGAACUCUAGGGGGACUGCCGGUGGUAAGCCGGAGGAAGGUGGGGAUGACGUCAAGUCCUCAUGGCCCUUACGUCUGGGGCUACACACGUGCUACAAUGGCCGGUACAAUGGGCUGCCAACCCGUAAGGGGGAGCGAAUCCCAAAAAGCCGGUCUCAGUCCGGAUUGGAGUCUGCAACUCGACUCCAUGAAGU
Molecule: ribosomal RNA, 358 nt
Filed under: uncultured bacterium
Lineage: Bacteria
Description: bacterial SSU rRNA
Rfam family: Bacterial small subunit ribosomal RNA
Source: RNAcentral